AGAGUUUGAUCAUGGCUCAGAAUGAACGUUGGCGGCGUGGAUUAGGCAUGCAAGUCGAGCGAGAAACCAAUUAGCUUGCUAUGAGGUGGACAGCGGCGAAAGGGAGAGUAACGCGUGGUUACGUGCCCUCGGGACCGGGAUAGUGUCGGGAAACUGGCAGUAAUACUGGAUAACAUCUUUGGAUCAAAUGGUGAGAUUCCGCCCGAGGAUCGGACCGCGUACUAUUAGCUUGUUGGCGGGGUAACGGCCCACCAAGGCUGCGAUGGUUACCGGGUGUGAGAGCAUGGCCCGGCCCACUGGGACUGAGACACUGCCCAGACAUCUACGGAUGGCUGCAGUCGAGAAUCUUCGGCAAUGGACGAAAGUCUGACCGAGCGACGCCGCGUGCGGGAUGAAGGCCCUCGGGUUGUAAACCGCUGUCAGUUGGGAGGAAAUUCAUGGGGGUUCUCCCCUGUGAUUGACCGAGCUUCAGAGGAAGGACGGGCUAAGUUCGUGCCAGCAGCCGCGGUAACACGAACCGUCCAAACGUUAUUCGGUAUCACUGGGCCUAAAGCGUGCGUAGGCGGCUUGGUAGGUGAGAUGUGAAAUCCCACGGCUCAACCGUGGAAUUGCGUUUCAAACCCCCAAGCUCGAGGAAGAUAGGGGUGAUGGGAACUU
This 657-nucleotide ribosomal RNA is filed under the name uncultured Planctomycetota bacterium. Its description in RNAcentral is "bacterial SSU rRNA". It matches the Rfam family "Bacterial small subunit ribosomal RNA", at positions 8 to 669 of the family's 1533-position model. Lineage: Bacteria; Pseudomonadati; Planctomycetota. The record is from RNAcentral.